This 1149-nucleotide ribosomal RNA is filed under the name Klebsiella quasivariicola. RNAcentral's name for it is "bacterial SSU rRNA". It matches the Rfam family "Bacterial small subunit ribosomal RNA", at positions 42 to 1183 of the family's 1533-position model. The record is from RNAcentral. Lineage: Bacteria; Pseudomonadati; Pseudomonadota; Gammaproteobacteria; Enterobacterales; Enterobacteriaceae.
GCAGGCCUAACACAUGCAAGUCGAGCGGUAGCACAGAGAGCUUGCUCUCGGGUGACGAGCGGCGGACGGGUGAGUAAUGUCUGGGAAACUGCCUGAUGGAGGGGGAUAACUACUGGAAACGGUAGCUAAUACCGCAUAACGUCGCAAGACCAAAGUGGGGGACCUUCGGGCCUCAUGCCAUCAGAUGUGCCCAGAUGGGAUUAGCUAGUAGGUGGGGUAACGGCUCACCUAGGCGACGAUCCCUAGCUGGUCUGAGAGGAUGACCAGCCACACUGGAACUGAGACACGGUCCAGACUCCUACGGGAGGCAGCAGUGGGGAAUAUUGCACAAUGGGCGCAAGCCUGAUGCAGCCAUGCCGCGUGUGUGAAGAAGGCCUUCGGGUUGUAAAGCACUUUCAGCGGGGAGGAAGGCGUUAAGGUUAAUAACCUUGUCGAUUGACGUUACCCGCAGAAGAAGCACCGGCUAACUCCGUGCCAGCAGCCGCGGUAAUACGGAGGGUGCAAGCGUUAAUCGGAAUUACUGGGCGUAAAGCGCACGCAGGCGGUCUGUCAAGUCGGAUGUGAAAUCCCCGGGCUCAACCUGGGAACUGCAUUCGAAACUGGCAGGCUAGAGUCUUGUAGAGGGGGGUAGAAUUCCAGGUGUAGCGGUGAAAUGCGUAGAGAUCUGGAGGAAUACCGGUGGCGAAGGCGGCCCCCUGGACAAAGACUGACGCUCAGGUGCGAAAGCGUGGGGAGCAAACAGGAUUAGAUACCCUGGUAGUCCACGCCGUAAACGAUGUCGAUUUGGAGGUUGUGCCCUUGAGGCGUGGCUUCCGGAGCUAACGCGUUAAAUCGACCGCCUGGGGAGUACGGCCGCAAGGUUAAAACUCAAAUGAAUUGACGGGGGCCCGCACAAGCGGUGGAGCAUGUGGUUUAAUUCGAUGCAACGCGAAGAACCUUACCUGGUCUUGACAUCCACAGAACUUUCCAGAGAUGGAUUGGUGCCUUCGGGAACUGUGAGACAGGUGCUGCAUGGCUGUCGUCAGCUCGUGUUGUGAAAUGUUGGGUUAAGUCCCGCAACGAGCGCAACCCUUAUCCUUUGUUGCCAGCGGUCCGGCCGGGAACUCAAAGGAGACUGCCAGUGAUAAACUGGAGGAAGGUGGGGAUGAC